RNAcentral lists this long non-coding RNA (251 nucleotides) under Lathyrus oleraceus (garden pea). Its description in RNAcentral is "Pisum sativum (pea) long non-coding RNA (PSAT_LNC020040)". Lineage: Eukaryota; Viridiplantae; Streptophyta; Magnoliopsida; Fabales; Fabaceae. The record is from RNAcentral.
UCGGGGUUCAGAGAGGGACCCAAUUCGUAUGAAGAACCAUUUGUUGAGUUUGUACCGCAUGCAUGAGUUGAAUCGAUGUUGCAUUGCAUUACAUAGUUGUCGUGCAUAUGAGAUGUUUGAGUGUUGUUGAAUACUCUUGUAUGGGUUUGUGCGAUUUUGAAUAUGAUGAAUAACAUUGUGAUUGGUGAUUGAUCUUGAUAUGGAUGAAACAUGAAUACAUGAUAUUAUGGUGCAUGUUUGAUAUGUGUAUG